CUCUCCCUCCAUUCGGAGUGACCUCAUUAUGGCAUGCGUUUUCAGUAAUGAAAAGGUGUGAAGCCCAUAAGAC
This 73-nucleotide unclassified non-coding RNA is filed under the name uncultured archaeon. The record is from RNAcentral.